This 254-nucleotide ribosomal RNA is filed under the name uncultured bacterium. RNAcentral's name for it is "partial 16S ribosomal RNA". It matches the Rfam family "Bacterial small subunit ribosomal RNA", at positions 524 to 776 of the family's 1533-position model. The record is from RNAcentral.
CACGUAGGGGGCGAGCGUUGUCCGGAUUUAUUGGGCGUAAAGCGCUCGUAGGCGGCUCCGUAAGUCGGGUGUGAAAACUCCAGGCUCAACCUGGAGACGCCACCCGAUACUGCUGUGGCUAGAGUCCGGUAGGGGAGCAUGGAAUUCCUGGUGUAGCGGUGAAAUGCGCAGAUAUCAGGAGGAACACCAGUGGCGAAGGCGGUGCUCUGGGCCGGAACUGACGCUGAGGAGCGAAAGCGUGGGGAGCAAACAGG